This 209-nucleotide ribosomal RNA is filed under the name uncultured Xanthobacter sp. Its description in RNAcentral is "partial 16S ribosomal RNA". It matches the Rfam family "Bacterial small subunit ribosomal RNA", at positions 1 to 246 of the family's 1533-position model. The record is from RNAcentral. Lineage: Bacteria; Pseudomonadati; Pseudomonadota; Alphaproteobacteria; Hyphomicrobiales; Xanthobacteraceae.
UAGAGUUUGAUCCUGGCUCAGAGCGAACGCUGGCGGCAGGCCUAACACAUGCAAGUCGAGCGCCCAGCAAUGGGAGCGGCAGACGGGUGAGUAACGCGUGGGGAUCUACCCAUUGGUACGGAAUAACUCAGGGAAACUUGGACUAAUACCGUAUAAGCCCUUCUGGGGAAAGAUUUAUCGCCAAUGGAUGAACCCGUGUCUGAUUAGCU